RNAcentral lists this ribosomal RNA (507 nucleotides) under uncultured bacterium. Its description in RNAcentral is "partial 16S ribosomal RNA". The record is from RNAcentral.
GGAGUUAGCCGGUGCUUCUUCUGUGAGUGAUGUCCUUCCUGCCGGCUAUUAACCCGCAGGCCUUCUUCCUCACUGAAAGUGCUUUACAACCCGAAGGCCUUCUUCACACACGCGGCAUGGCUGGAUCAGGGUUGCCCCCAUUGUCCAAUAUUCCCCACUGCUGCCUCCCGUAGGAGUCUGGGCCGUGUCUCAGUCCCAGUGUGGCUGAUCAUCCUCUCAGACCAGCUACGGAUCGUCGCCUUGGUGAGCCGUUACCUCACCAACCAGCUAAUCCGACAUAGGCUCAUCCGAUAGCGCGAGGCCCGAAGGUCCCCCGCUUUCCCCCGUAGGGCGUAUGAGGUAUUAGCCUGGGUUUCCCCAGGUUAUCCCCCACUACCGGGCAGAUUCCUAUGCAUUACUCACCCGUCCGCCGCUCGCCACCAGGGAGCAAGCUCCCCGUGCUGCCGCUCGACUUGCAUGUGUUAGGCCUGCCGCCAGCGUUCAAUCUGAGCCAGAAUCGAACCCUGA